Molecule: ribosomal RNA, 1481 nt
Filed under: uncultured prokaryote
Description: partial 16S ribosomal RNA
Rfam family: Bacterial small subunit ribosomal RNA
Source: RNAcentral
AGGGUUUGAUCCUGGCUCAGGAUGAACGCUAGCGGCAGGCUUAACACAUGCAAGUCGAGGGGUAACAGGGAUUAGGUUCUACUUGCUGACGACCGGCGCACGGGUGCGUAACGCGUAUCCUUUUACAGAGAGAUAGCCUUUAGAAAUGAAGAUUAAUACCUCAUAGUAUGAUAAUAAGGCAUCUUAUUAUUAUUAAAGCUUCGGCGGUAAAAGAUGAGUAUGCGUUCUAUUAGCUAGAUGGUGUGGUAACGGCACACCAUGGCAACGAUAGAUAGGGGCCCUGAGAGGGGGAUCCCCCACACUGGUACUGAGACACGGACCAUACUCCUACGGGAGGCAGCAGUGAGGAAGAUUGCACAAUGGAGGCAACUCUGAUCCAGCCAUGCCGCGUGCAGGAAGACUGCCCUAUGGGUUGUAAACUGCUUUUAUACAGGAAGAAACACUCCCUCGUGAGGGAGCUUGACGGUACUGUAAGAAUAAGGAUCGGCUAACUCCGUGCCAGCAGCCGCGGUAAUACGGAGGAUCCAAGCGUUAUCCGGAAUCAUUGGGUUUAAAGGGUCCGUAGGUGGAUAAUUAAGUCAGGGGUGAAAGUCUGCAGCUCAACUGUAGAAUUGCCUCUGAUACUGGUUAUCUUGAGUUAUGUUGAAGUUGGCGGAAUACGACAUGUAGCGGUGAAAUGCAUAGAUAUGUCGUAGAACACCUAUUGCGAAGGCAGCUAACUAAGCUAGUACUGACGCUGAGGCACGAAAGCGUGGGGAGCGAACAGGAUUAGAUACCCUGGUAGUCCACGCCGUAAACGAUGAUUACUCGGUGUUGGCGAUAUAAUGUCAGUACCCAAGCGAAAGUGAUAAGUAAUCCACCUGGGGAGUACGAUCGCAAGGUUGAAACUCAAAGGAAUUGACGGGGGCCCGCACAAGCGGUGGAGCAUGUGGUUUAAUUCGAUGAUACGCGAGGAACCUUACCUGGGCUUAAAUGCAUAAUGACAGGUCUAGAAAUAGACGACUUUCUUCGGACAGAAUGCAAGGUGCUGCAUGGCUGUCGUCAGCUCGUGCUGUGAGGUGUCGGGUUAAGUCCCAUAACGAGCGCAACCCCUAUCUUUAGUUGCCAGCGAGUAAUGUCGGGGACUCUAAAGAAACUGCCGGCGUAAGCCGAGAGGAAGGUGGGGACGACGUCAAGUCAUCACGGCCCUUACGUCCUGGGCCACACACGUGCUACAAUGGUUGAGACAAAGGGCAGCUACAUAGUGAUAGGAUGCGAAAGCCAAAAACUCGUCUCAGUUCGGAUUGAAGUCUGCAACUCGACUUCAUGAAGCUGGAAUCGCUAGUAAUCGCGCAUCAGCCAUGGCGCGGUGAAUACGUUCCCGGGCCUUGUACACACCGCCCGUCAAGCCAUGGAAGCUGGGAGCACCUGAAGUCGGUAACCGUAAGGAGCCGCCUAGGGUGAAACUGGUAACUGGUGUUAAGUCGUAACAAGGUAACCGU